GACGAACGCUGGCGGCGUGCUUAACACAUGCAAGUCGAACGAAAAGACGGAAAGAGCUUGCUCUUUUCAGAAUUGAGUGGCAAACGGGUGAGUAACACGUAAACAACCUGCCUUCAGGAUGGGGACAACAGACGGAAACGACUGCUAAUACCGAAUAAGUUCCAAGGGCCGCAUGGCCCAUGGAAGAAAAGGUGGCCUCUACCUGUAAGCUAUCGCCUGAAGAGGGGUUUGCGUCUGAUUAGCUGGUUGGAGGGGUAACGGCCCACCAAGGCAACGAUCAGUAGCCGGUCUGAGAGGAUGAACGGCCACACUGGAACUGAGACACGGUCCAGACUCCUACGGGAGGCAGCAGUGGGGAAUCUUCCGCAAUGGGCGAAAGCCUGACGGAGCAACGCCGCGUGAGUGAUGACGGCCUUCGGGUUGUAAAACUCUGUGAUCCGGGACGAAAAGGCAGAGUGCGAAGAACAAACUGCAUUGACGGUACCGGAAA
RNAcentral lists this ribosomal RNA (490 nucleotides) under Dialister invisus. Its description in RNAcentral is "bacterial SSU rRNA". It matches the Rfam family "Bacterial small subunit ribosomal RNA", at positions 28 to 484 of the family's 1533-position model. Lineage: Bacteria; Bacillati; Bacillota; Negativicutes; Veillonellales; Veillonellaceae. The record is from RNAcentral.